AGUGAACGCUGGCGGUAGGCCUAACACAUGCAAGUCGAACGGCAGCACAGGAGAGCUUGCUCUCUGGGUGUCGAGUGGCGGACGGGUGAGGAAUACAUCGGAAUCUACUCUGUCGUGGGGGAUAACGUAGGGAAACUUACGCUAAUACCGCAUACGACCUACGGGUGAAAGCAGGGGACCUUCGGGCCUUGCGCGAUUGAAUGAGCCGAUGUCGGAUUAGCUAGUUGGCGGGGUAAAGGCCCACCAAGGCGACGAUCCGUAGCUGGUCUGAGAGGAUGAUCAGCCACACUGGAACUGAGACACGGUCCAGACUCCUACGGGAGGCAGCAGUGGGGAAUAUUGGACAAUGGGCGCAAGCCUGAUCCAGCCAUACCGCGUGGGUGAAGAAGGCCUUCGGGUUGUAAAGCCCUUUUGUUGGGAAAGAAAUCCGGCUGGCUAAUACCCGGUUGGGAUGACGGUACCCAAAGAAUAAGCACCGGCUAACUUCGUGCCAGCCGCCGCGGUAA
RNAcentral lists this ribosomal RNA (506 nucleotides) under uncultured bacterium. Its description in RNAcentral is "partial 16S ribosomal RNA". It matches the Rfam family "Bacterial small subunit ribosomal RNA", at positions 29 to 523 of the family's 1533-position model. The record is from RNAcentral.